This 1596-nucleotide unclassified non-coding RNA is filed under the name Amphibalanus amphitrite. RNAcentral's name for it is "growth/differentiation factor 8-like, transcript variant X1". The record is from RNAcentral. Lineage: Eukaryota; Metazoa; Arthropoda; Thecostraca; Balanomorpha; Balanidae.
AGUGCUGCGGCGCGUUCGGUGCACGCGCCACUCUCCGCCGCCGUCGGUCGGCCGUCCCCGCGAGCAUGGCUCCGUCCCGCCGCUGUCUGCCGGCGCCGCCGCUGCUGCUGGCCGCCCUGCUGCUCGCCCUGACGCCGACGGUGCGGGCCAAGGUGCCGCGGCCGGUGCAGGCGGACCAAGGCACCUCCCCGGCCAGCUGCCAGCACUGCCACGUUCGCGAGGCCCAGAAGCAGCUCCAAGUGGAAUCCAUCAAGGCGCAGAUCCUGCAGAAGCUGGGCAUGGAGCAGGCGCCCAACAUGACGGGCCGCAAGCUGCCGGUGGUGUCGGAGGCGCUGAUUCAGGCGUACAUGCAGCCGCGCGACGACGUCGCCGGCGACGGCAGCCAGCACGACCAGGAGUUCAUGGCCUACGAGAGCGACGACGACCACUCGCAGCUGGAGAAGAUGUGGACCUUCUCGUCGCGAUCCCCGCUGGCGGUGGGUAACGGCGCUCUGGCCCAGGACGAGCUGCGAGACCAGCUGCUCUACUUUGACCUCUCUCCCAGCAUCACAGAAAUGGACCUGCAGAACGCCACCCUCUGGCUCUUUGUUCGCAAGCGGCAUCGCGACAUAAAAGUCAAAAUCCACAAGCUCGUCUCGGACGAGCGCGGUAACUACAUCCAAAAGGAGGCGAUGCGCACCUACAUCAAACGGCGGCAUGGCCAGGCGUCCGGCUACGAGACGAUAGACGUGAAGAACCUGGUGCUGGACUGGUUUAGGGACCCGCAGCAGAACUUCGGCAUCCGCAUCGAGACGUCGUCGAAUGGCACCACCCGGGGCCUGUCAGUCAACAGCUUCCUGGACGUCGAUGGCGACGAUAUUGACCUGCUGCCCGUGCUGGAGGUGCAUGUCAGCUCUGACCGGCGGCGCACCAAGCGCACCACGGGCGGCAACUUCUGCACGGACAACAGCACCGAGACCAACUGCUGCCGCUUCCCGCUAGUGGUCGACUUCCACGCGUUCGGCUGGGAUUGGAUCAUCGCGCCGAGCUCCUACCACGCCAACUACUGCUCGGGCAACUGUCCGUACGUGUACCUGCAGAAAUACCCGCACACGCAUAUCGUACAGCAGGUGGGCGGCACCAGCGGACCGUGCUGCGGACCGCGCAAACUGUCGCCCAUCCACAUGCUCUACUGGGACACCUUCAGCCACAUCAGGUCGCGGCCACCCGGCGGCUUGGCCCCUAAUUGGCACCUAUAAAAAGGUCGUCAACGCUCCCGGUCAGUCUGCCCCGGUCUCGGACGCAUUUUAAAGCCCUCAAACGAAAUUCGCCCGGUCCUUGGAGCGUAGGUACCGAAAUGCGACGGAACGACGGAGCCGACCAGCAGCUGCAGGCCACAGUUUUACGACGCCGAGGCACAGCUUUCGGUCACGACGGGACAGCAUGUCAGCCGGCUGUUCAAUUUGGAAGUAGAGGCCGGCAGAAAAUAAUGGUCUUCCGACUUCCUCACGACGGUUGCUGCUUGCAUUGCACCAGCUAUUUGGGUUCGACAAGCUGCCCAACAUGAUAGUGGAUAGCUGCGGCUGCCACUAGCCGGCGGCGCCCGGUCAGAGAGCC